AUACGGAGGGUGCAAGCGUUGUUCGGAAUCACUGGGCGUAAAGGGCCCGCAGGCGGUUUGGUAAGUCAGAUGUGAAAGCCCACGGCUCAACCGUGGAAGUGCAUUUGAAACUGUCAGACUUGAGUACUAGAGGGGAAAGUGGAAUUCCCGGUGUAGAGGUGAAAUUCGUAGAUAUCGGGAGGAAUACCGGUGGCGAAGGCGACUUUCUGGCUAGAUACUGCCGCUGAGGCGCGAAAGCGUGGGGAGCAAACAGGAUUAGAAACCCUAGUAGUCC
Molecule: ribosomal RNA, 274 nt
Filed under: uncultured bacterium
Lineage: Bacteria
Description: partial 16S ribosomal RNA
Rfam family: Bacterial small subunit ribosomal RNA
Source: RNAcentral